This 402-nucleotide ribosomal RNA is filed under the name uncultured Eubacteriales bacterium. RNAcentral's name for it is "uncultured Clostridiales bacterium partial 16S ribosomal RNA". It matches the Rfam family "Bacterial small subunit ribosomal RNA", at positions 355 to 774 of the family's 1533-position model. Lineage: Bacteria; Bacillati; Bacillota; Clostridia; Eubacteriales. The record is from RNAcentral.
UGGGGAAUAUUGCACAAUGGGCGAAAGCCUGAUGCAGCGACGCCGCGUGAAGGAAGAAGAUUUUCGGAUUGUAAACUUCUAUCAGCAGGGAAGAUGAUGACAGUACCUGACUAAGAAGCCCCGGCUAACUACGUGCCAGCAGCCGCGGUAAUACGUAGGGGGCAAGCGUUAUCCGGAUUUACUGGGUGUAAAGGGUGUGUAGGCGGCUUGAUAAGUCAGAUGUGAAAGCCCGUGGCUCAACCACGGGACUGCAUUUGAAACUGUCAAGCUAGAGUACAGGAGAGGCAAGUGGAAUUCCUAGUGUAGCGGUAAAAUGCGUAGAUAUUAGGAGGAACACCGGUGGCGAAGGCGACUUGCUGGACUGUAACUGACGCUGAGGCACGAAAGCGUGGGGAGCAAACA